This 253-nucleotide ribosomal RNA is filed under the name uncultured bacterium. RNAcentral's name for it is "partial 16S ribosomal RNA". It matches the Rfam family "Bacterial small subunit ribosomal RNA", at positions 524 to 776 of the family's 1533-position model. The record is from RNAcentral.
UACGCAGGGACCGAGCGUUGUCCGGAAUCAUUGGGCGUAAAGAGCGUGUAGGCGGCCUUUUAAGUCCUGCGUGAAAUCCUGCGGCUCAACCGCAGACGGUCGUGGGAAACUGGAAGGCUAGAGUGCGGGAGAGGAGAGUGGAAUUCCCGGUGUAGCGGUGAAAUGCGCAGAUAUCAGGAGGAACACCGGUGGCGAAGGCGGGACUCUGGGCCGAUACUGACGCUGAGGAGCGAAAGCGUGGGGAGCAAACAGG